UUUUUUUUUUCACCUGCCUUCUGUUUUGGCUUAUAUGUCCCUUCUAUUUUUUGUGUCCCCUGUUCAUUCGUCCUUCUAAAUUGUUGUUUAUCGCUCUGUACUUAUAUUUAUUUGUCAUUCCUUUAUUUUAUCUGUUAAGUCUUUUGUCAACGUAGAUUGUUGACUUACUUUUAAAUUUUCUACGUGUCUUUCUUUCCAGUCCUUUGUCGUUUGUUGUCCACGUGUUCUUCUUCUCUCUUUCUUUUGGGUUCGAUGUCCACCGCCCUUCGCCGCCUAUCUCUCGAUUACAUUACUAUGGUUUCACAUUUUAUUUUAUCCUCCCCAAAUCGAGUCUCCUCUCUUCUUCUACUUGCUGCUACCUCCACCGCUUCAGGCGAUGUACCGACAACCAACCACCGGAGUUCGCCGUUUACCCUCUGCUCCAUAUAAAGAUGAUCCAAAAGCAGAAACAAGGUUUCAAGGAGUAUCAAAGGAAUAUGAGGUAUUAUUACUAACUAUAAAAAUGAUUUAGGUUUAAUCAGGCACCUUACCAGCUUGCUACAAGCGAUGAAGGACGGGAGGUUAGGGGCUGUGGAAGAUGCGACGACGGAGGGUUCCAGAGUCAAGAUCGAUUGCGACAGAGGAUACAAACAACUGCAUCCAUUAUCAACAAUAGACUGAAUGAUUGAAGCUCUGGAAUCGAUGAAAUUCAAAAAACCUCUUCAUCAACAUCUAUGGUCGGGAUUUUCACGAUGGCGGUUUCAGGUUCAGUGCUUUGGAUGCCCUUGGUUUUGGAAGUUAAGUAACUAAUUGACUUAUUUCUUCUGACGAAAAUGGUAUAAAAAUGCAGUCACCGCCUCAGUAGAACUGAUUGUAAUUUAUACAGGAGGUCUUCUUCUACAUGACACGUAAUUAUAAAAGAAAAACUUUUGUAAAUUGAAUUAACCUUUUAAAAUUUAAUGAUUAAGCAGAAGACAUACAUAGUUCCCAUUCGUCGUUUAAUUGCAUCCAAGUUUCAAUAAAGAUUUGAUACAUUUUUUGGCUUCAAUUUCAAAUUCUAUAGGUUGAUUUAGUUUGAGUAUACACAUUGUAGACAAACCGUAAGCCCUCAAAUAGGAGUAGUUGAUACCUCCUACAAAUGGGGUUACUUUUGGGGAUUAUGCAGUAAAAGACACCUCAAGACGGUUUAGGUUUGUGGUGUUAACAUGAGUUUAUAUUCAACAGAUGCAUUAGAACAUCAAAUUACUUCUUUAUAUGCAAAUAUUUCAAAAAGGAGAAGGAUGGUUUACAUGAUUUUUCUGCUGGUAUGGUUCUUCAACAAUUAGUCAGUAACAAAUCUGACUUAUUUAAGAAGCAUCCAGUCCAACAUGGUAAAUUUUUUUUGGUUUUCUUUAUAACAAAGGUUACUGGGAUUUGGUAUCUAUAUGAAAUAACAAUGGGGAUUGUCACAUCCUAAUAUAAUAUCUCAUAUAUCUAAUGACCUGAAAUAAAAGAAGACAGUUGUUGCUACAUCUGUUGAAAUAAGAAAGUCGUUGAUUGAAGUUCUAAUUCAAGUCUGAAGUCUGAACAAAUGAAUGUUAUUCUGUAGGAACUACUAUUGCACGGUAUGUGUUUGUUGAAAUGUCAAUGUUGAUGAAGAGUUUGUUUUUUGAUUUGGGAUCGGUGAUGAUGGAGAUAUGAAAGAUUUAUGCCAUCUCCUGGAAAAAUUAACUAUGUUUUCUGUGUAUACAGUUUACUUAUGAAAGAUGUUAAGUCUGGACUGUAGAUGUAGGUGAAGUCGUUGAAGGCGGAAAGGAGUUCGAGGGAGAUGGGGAACAAAUUAGCAUUUGUGGAUGUCGUGGCAACAUCCGGUAUUAUAUAGACUUAACAGAAAUUGGCAUUUGUGUUUGCUUUUUUCUUGCAUCUUAUGAUGUUAUUGUUUAGUUUGAACUUUUAAGGGUAAAACUGACAACUGGUAUCGACAUAGUUUUCAGGGAAUUGAUAGUUUAGGCCAUAAUACGGGUUUACAACGACAAAAA
Non-coding RNA from Lactuca sativa (garden lettuce), 1997 nucleotides. NCBI's taxonomy places the organism in Eukaryota, Viridiplantae, Streptophyta, Magnoliopsida, Asterales, Asteraceae. The record is from RefSeq and is a predicted model, not a curated record.